Molecule: RNA transcript, 1695 nt
Organism: Arachis ipaensis
Lineage: Eukaryota; Viridiplantae; Streptophyta; Magnoliopsida; Fabales; Fabaceae
Gene name: guanine nucleotide-binding protein subunit beta-1
Source: RefSeq, a predicted model, not a curated record
AUUCAUAAUUCAUUCACACUUUCCUUCCAUGAGUAGUUGAACUCCACCUUUCUUCUUCUUCUUCUUCUUCUUCUUCUUCUGUUUGGAAGAACAAGUUGAAAAGUAACACAGCACCAAACACAAAACUCAAGCAACCCCAUCAUUUCAUCGGCAUAAAUUUCCCAACUUGCAUUCAUUCUGAAACACACUGCAAUGUGAUUGUAAUUGUGGUUGUGAAUUGACUUGUAUUGUGUGGUGCUUCAAAUUCAUGUUCAUAUGUCCCUUUCUCAACCAAAAAUGUCUGUUGCUGAGCUCAAGGAGCGUCACUUAGCUGCCACUGACACACUCAACAAUCUCAAACAACGUUUAAACCAUACACGCCGUUCUUUGCUUGAUACUGAUCUUGCUGGGUAUGCGAGGUCUCAGGGUAAGAGUCCUGUGACUUUUGGACCUACUGAUCUGGUUUGCUGUAGAACUUUGCAGGGCCAUACAGGAAAGGUGUAUUCAUUAGAUUGGACAUCUGAGAGGAAUCGGAUUGUUAGUGCAUCCCAAGAUGGUCGUUUAAUUGUGUGGAAUGCUCUAACAAGGCAGAAAAUCCACGCCAUAAAGCUUCCUUGUGCAUGGGUCAUGGCAACUGCUUUCUCACCAACUGGUCAGUCAAUUACAUGUGGUGGACUUGACAGUGUUUGCUCUAUUUUCAACCUGAAUUCCGCCACCGACAAGGAUGGGAAUCUACCUGUUUCCAGGACGCUUUGUGGACAUAAGGGUUACAUUUCAUCUUGUCAGUAUGUUCCUGACGAAGACACUCACUUAAUUACUGGUUCUGGUGAUCAGACUUGUGUUCUAUGGGAUAUUACUACCGGCCUUAAAACUUCUGUCUUUGGUGGUGAAUUUCAAUCUGGACAUACUGCAGAUGUACUUAGGAAUAUGCUGUUACUUUGUCCUGCCUUAGCAUCUCCAUUAACGGAUCCAACUCAAGAAUGUUUGCAUCUGGUUCUUGUGACGCCACUGCUCGAUUGUGGGAUACACGUAUGGCAAGUCGAGCAGUUCGGACAUUCCAUGGGCAUGAGGGAGAUGUUAAUUCGGUCAAGCUCUUUCCAGAUGGAAAUAGAUUCGGAACUGGCUCGGAGGACGGAACAUGCAGAUUGUUUGACAUUCGGACUGGACAUCAACUUCAAGUAUACUGUCAGAAGCACAGUGACAAUGAAACACCACCCGUGACCUCCAUCGCGUUCUCCAUAUCAGGAAGACUCCUUUUUGCCGGAUACACAAAUGGAGAUUGCUAUGUAUGGGACACUUUGUUGGCAAAGGUGGUGUUGAAUUUAGGGUCUCUUCAAGACUCUCAUGAGGGCAGGAUCAGCUGUUUAGGUCUGGCAGCUGAUGGAAGUGCCUUGUGUACAGGAAGUUGGGACACAAACCUUAAGAUAUGGGCAUUUGGAGGGCAUAGGAGGAUGAUUUGAGCCAUUGAAGGAGAGGGUACAGACUAAACAUUUGAGUUCCCUUGUUAGGUCCAUUUAUAUGAAAGCCUAUACGAGUGGCUAUAUACGUUCCUAACGCAUGUAGUAUAUAACUAUAUAUAAGCAUUUCUCCUUUGAUGAGAAGAAUUGUGUGGAAUACAAAGGUUAUAUAACAUUUUCUCGAUUGUGAAUGUAGUAUGAAACAAUAUUUACGUUCGUUAUAACAUUAGAAUAUAUAGGCAAAUGCUCUUUAUGCAUC